RNAcentral lists this ribosomal RNA (250 nucleotides) under uncultured prokaryote. RNAcentral describes it as "partial 16S ribosomal RNA". It matches the Rfam family "Bacterial small subunit ribosomal RNA", at positions 524 to 773 of the family's 1533-position model. The record is from RNAcentral.
UACGUAGGGGGCAAGCGUUAUCCGGAUUUACUGGGUGUAAAGGGAGUGUAGGUGGCCGUGCAAGUCAGAUGUGAAAUCCCGGGGCUCAACCGCGGGACUGCAUUUGAAACUGCGUGGCUGGAGUGCAGGAGAGGUAAGCGGAAUUCCUAGUGGAGCGGUGAAAUGCGUAGAUAUUAGGAGGAACACCAGUGGCGAAGGCGGCCUACUGGACUGUAACUGACGCUGAGGCGCGAAAGUCGGGGGAGCAAAC